AUGCACACGGGCAGGAGGUUUCUUGGAUGUGCUAAUAAGGAAGGCAUAAACUGUGGAGUAGUUCAAUUGAUUGAUUUUGAAUGGCCAGACUCAAUGGAGAAGGCAUUGGCCAAGCUAUGGGAUAUGUAUGAGGAGACUAAGUCAGCUAGGACCAAUGACAAUCUAGAGAGUUCCUUUGCAAUUCACAACCUGACAGAAGAGAAGAAGAAACUACAAGAGAACUAUGACAGUUUGUAUGCUGAUGUGAAUGCUCUUUUGAAUGCCCAGCAGGAGAGGGGUGUGGAGUUAACCAAUCAAAAGGAGCAGAAGCAAUAUCUUGAAGUGAAGAUUGCUGAGCUUGAAACUGUAGUUGGCAACUUGAAGGCAGAGUUGUCAAAGAAAGAGGAGGAGAAGAAGAAACUAUAG
This 405-nucleotide ribosomal RNA is filed under the name Triticum aestivum (bread wheat). Its description in RNAcentral is "partial small subunit ribosomal RNA". The record is from RNAcentral. Lineage: Eukaryota; Viridiplantae; Streptophyta; Magnoliopsida; Poales; Poaceae.